RNAcentral lists this ribosomal RNA (306 nucleotides) under Triticum aestivum (bread wheat). RNAcentral's name for it is "partial small subunit ribosomal RNA". Lineage: Eukaryota; Viridiplantae; Streptophyta; Magnoliopsida; Poales; Poaceae. The record is from RNAcentral.
AUGGAUGCACCUCAAUUCCAAUCUGACACCUGUAAAGAUUUUCACAUGUUGUUAAUGUAUGCCAAGAUAGCAUACAUGAAGUUAAUGUAUUCUAAGUUAAUGUGGAUCAAAGCGGCUGACUGCACCAUCAAUGGACGAGAAUUUCUCACUGAACUGUUUUUGUUUGUUCAGUUGCAGGCACUCUGCAUGGACAAGAAUUUAUCACUGUCACUGGUUUUUAUUACUUCAUCAAGUAAAUCAUUGUCUAAUACCGAACGAGUUGAAACUCAUGAUGUUUUAUUGAACAAUGAUCUAUUUGGAAGCUAA